AUGAGCAGCUAUCAGGCUCCAGUGAGCAGAGGAAGAGGACAUCAGCCCAGGAAAUGUCUCUCAUUUUCAGCUCCUGCAGACCUGAGACCAGCCUCUCAGACAAAGAAGCAGAGCUUCAGUUCCGAUACACCAAAUACCAACUCUCUCCCAGUCACUGCUGCUGUGAGCCAAGCUAAGCACCCUCCACCAGUGACGACCACAAAUCGGUCAACAACACUUUUUAAUGCCGUCGCCUCCAGAUCUGCCCACGUUACAUUCAGACCUAACAUUAUUACUAACCAUCACUUUAAUGCAGACACAUCUAAAACUACAACGUCUGCUCUUUCUAGCUCUUCUUGCUCUCCACUUGCCACUCUGGCACCUUGCAAAGCCAUAUCCACCUCAAGCAGUGCCACUAAUAUAACAACACCCCCAAAACUGGCAAAGAAAAUGUCUGCUAUCCCUGACAAAUCGGAUGCUAAACAUUCAGCUUCUACUCCUCUAACUCUGAGGACCUCUACCUUUGACUCUGAUGUCUUAAUACGUUCUGACACUAAUCCUAAAACCACUGCCUCAGACACAACUGUCCCGAGCAUAUCAACUGCCCUCGAGGCUUAUCGUUCUAACAUGCCUUGUAAAACGGAUGGUGCUACUCCUGCAUAUCAUGGACUUAUAUUUGCUGCAUCCUGCUCACCACCUGCUCAUCGCCUUCCUGAGAGAAGCAACAAGUCUGCCAGAAAGUCCACCGCUGCUCUAGAGAAGCAAGCAAGACCCAAACCAGAAGCUCCAGCCGAGGUUCGCUCUGUUGAGGUCAUCAAAACAGUCGGACAGAGCAGCCUCAUGAUUGGCUGGGAGAGGCCGCCACUUGACGAGCUGGGCUGCAGCAACGGCACAUUUGUGUACGGGUACAGGGUGUUUAUAGAUGGGGACUUUCACAAAUCUGUCAUGAGCUCAGCAUGCACCAAGAGUAUUCUGGAGAAUGUCGACCUGAGUGUCCCAGUCCACAUCAGUGUCCAAACGCUGGGCUCUAAUGCGCUCAGUUCACAAUUUGUCCACACAAUGUACAGGACAGUCAGAACAGACCAACACUGA
This 1071-nucleotide long non-coding RNA is filed under the name Cottoperca gobio. Its description in RNAcentral is "lncRNA (ENSCGOG00000008995.1)". The record is from RNAcentral. Lineage: Eukaryota; Metazoa; Chordata; Actinopteri; Perciformes; Bovichtidae.